This 492-nucleotide ribosomal RNA is filed under the name uncultured bacterium. RNAcentral's name for it is "partial 16S ribosomal RNA". It matches the Rfam family "Bacterial small subunit ribosomal RNA", at positions 30 to 507 of the family's 1533-position model. The record is from RNAcentral.
AUUGAACGCUGGCGGCAUGCUUUACACAUGCAAGUCGAACGGUAAUAGGCCUUCGGGUGCUGACGAGUGGCGAACGGGUGAGUAAUGCAUCGGAACGUGCCCAGAGGUGGGGGAUAACGCAGCGAAAGCUGUGCUAAUACCGCAUGUGAUCUGAGGAUGAAAGCGGGGGACCAAGCAGCAAUGUUUGGCCUCGCGCCUCUGGAGCGGCCGAUGUCAGAUUAGGUAGUUGGUGGGGUAAAGGCCUACCAAGCCGACGAUCUGUAGCUGGUCUGAGAGGACGACCAGCCACACUGGGACUGAGACACGGCCCAGACUCCUACGGGAGGCAGCAGUGGGGAAUUUUGGACAAUGGGCGCAAGCCUGAUCCAGCAAUGCCGCGUGCGGGAAGAAGGCCUUCGGGUUGUAAACCGCUUUUGUACGGAACGAAAAGGCUCUGGCUAAUACCUGGGGCUGAUGACGGUACCGUAAGAAUAAGCACCGGCUAACUACGUG